RNAcentral lists this ribosomal RNA (467 nucleotides) under uncultured bacterium. Its description in RNAcentral is "partial 16S ribosomal RNA". It matches the Rfam family "Bacterial small subunit ribosomal RNA", at positions 28 to 507 of the family's 1533-position model. The record is from RNAcentral.
GACGAACGCUGGCGGCGUGCUUAACACAUGCAAGUCGAACGGAAAGGCCCUGCUUUUGUGGGGUGCUCGAGUGGCGAACGGGUGAGUAACACGUGAGUAACCUGCCCUUGACUUUGGGAUAACUUCAGGAAACUGGGGCUAAUACCGGAUAGGAGCUCCUGCUGCAUGGUGGGGGUUGGAAAGUUUCGGCGGUUGGGGAUGGACUCGCGGCUUAUCAGCUUGUUGGUGGGGUAGUGGCUUACCAAGGCUUUGACGGGUAGCCGGCCUGAGAGGGUGACCGGCCACAUUGGGACUGAGAUACGGCCCAGACUCCACGGGAGGCAGCAGUGGGGAAUAUUGCACAAUGGGCGGAAGCCUGAUGCAGCAACGCCGCGUGCGGGAUGACGGCCUUCGGGUUGUAAACCGCUUUCGCCUGUGACGAAGCGUGAGUGACGGUAAUGGGUAAAGAAGCGCCGGCUAACUACGUG